CAGAUUGAACGCUGGCGGCAGGCCUAACACAUGCAAGUCGAGCGGAUGAAGGGAGCUUGCUCCUGGAUUCAGCGGCGGACGGGUGAGUAAUGCCUAGGAAUCUGCCUGGUAGUGGGGGAUAACGUCCGGAAACGGGCGCUAAUACCGCAUACGUCCUACGGGAGAAAGCAGGGGACCUUCGGGCCUUGCGCUAUCAGAUGAGCCUAGGUCGGAUUAGCUUGUUGGUGAGGUAAUGGCUCACCAAGGCUGCGAUCCGUAACUGGUCUGAGAGGAUGAUCAGUCACACUGGAACUGAGACACGGUCCAGACUCCUACGGGAGGCAGCAGUGGGGAAUAUUGGACAAUGGGCGAAAGCCUGAUCCAGCCAUGCCGCGUGUGUGAAGAAGGUCUUCGGAUUGUAAAGCACUUUAAGUUGGGAGGAAGGGUUGUAGGUUAAUACCCUGCAAUUUUGACGUUACCGACAGAAUAAGCACCGGCUAACUUCGUGCCAGCAGCCGCGGUAAUACGAAGGGUGCAAGCGUUAAUCGGAAUUACUGGGCGUAAAGCGCGCGUAGGUGGUUUGUCAAGUUGGAAGUGAAAGCCCCGGGCUCAACCUGGGAACUGCUUUCAAAACUGGCAAGCUAGAGUAUGGCAGAGGGUGGUGGAAUUUCCUGUGUAGCGGUGAAAUGCGUAGAUAUAGGAAGGAACAUCAGUGGCGAAGGCG
RNAcentral lists this ribosomal RNA (703 nucleotides) under Pseudomonas sp. RNAcentral describes it as "bacterial SSU rRNA". It matches the Rfam family "Bacterial small subunit ribosomal RNA", at positions 25 to 723 of the family's 1533-position model. Lineage: Bacteria; Pseudomonadati; Pseudomonadota; Gammaproteobacteria; Pseudomonadales; Pseudomonadaceae. The record is from RNAcentral.